RNAcentral lists this ribosomal RNA (503 nucleotides) under uncultured bacterium. RNAcentral's name for it is "bacterial SSU rRNA". It matches the Rfam family "Bacterial small subunit ribosomal RNA", at positions 38 to 518 of the family's 1533-position model. The record is from RNAcentral.
GGUAGCGUGGGAUUAGGCGAUGCAAGUCGAACGGGAUCGUCCGGGUAGCAAGUAUCGGGCGUGAGAGUGGCGGACUGGGGAGGAGCACGUGAGCAACCUGCCCUGGAGAUGGGGAAAACCGUUGGAAACGACGGCUAAUACCGAAUGUGGCGCCGGACGGCAUCGUCCGGCCGCUGAAGGGGGCCGCAAGGCUCCCGCUCCGGGAUGGGCUCGCGCACCAUCAGCUUGUUGGCGGGGUAACGGCCACCAAGGCUUACGGUUAGCUGGUCUGAGAGGAUGGCCAGCCCCACUGGGACUGAGACACUGCCCAGACUCCUACGGGAGGCUGCAGUCGAGGAUCAUUUGCAAUGGGCGAAAGCCUGACAAUGCGACGCUGCGUGGAAGGAUGAAGGCCCUCGGGUCGUAAACUCCUGUCAUGGGGGAACAGGCGAGGGGCGCCAAUACCGCCCUUAGUUGAGUGUACCCCAAGAGGAAUUGGCGGCUAACUCUGUGCCAGCCGCGGC